RNAcentral lists this ribosomal RNA (688 nucleotides) under uncultured bacterium. RNAcentral's name for it is "bacterial SSU rRNA". It matches the Rfam family "Bacterial small subunit ribosomal RNA", at positions 76 to 742 of the family's 1533-position model. The record is from RNAcentral.
CCACUCNAUGGCGACAANUGCCANACGGUUUGUAGUUAAUAUAUCUGGAACGUGCCCUAGGUAGUGACGGUGAUAKRCCCKUGCGCAAUAGCUCGGAUUACAUACCGCRUGCSCACCUGAGGGUGAAAGCGGGGGAUCGCAAGACCUCGCGCUACUGGAGCGGCCGAUAUCAGAUUAGCUAGUUGGUGGGGUAAAGGCCUACCAAGGCAACGAUCUGUAGUUGGUCUGAGAGGACGACCAGCCACACUGGGACUGAGACACGGCCCAGACUCCUACGGGAGGCAGCAGUGGGGAAUUUUGGACAAUGGGCGCAAGCCUGAUCCAGCAAUGCCGCGUGCAGGAAGAAGGCCUUCGGGUUGUAAACUGCUUUUGUCAGGGAAGAAAUCUUCUGGGCUAAUACCCCGGGAGGAUGACGGUACCUGAAGAAUAAGCACCGGCUAACUACGUGCCAGCAGCCGCGGUAAUACGUAGGGUGCGAGCGUUAAUCGGAAUUACUGGGCGUAAAGCGUGCGCAGGCGGCUUUGCAAGACAGAGGUGAAAUCCCCGGGCUCAACCUGGGAACUGCCUUUGUGACUGCAAGGCUAGAGUACGGCAGAGGGGGAUGGAAUUCCGCGUGUAGCAGUGAAAUGCGUAGGUAUGCGGAGGAANCACCCGAUGGCGAAGGCAAUCCCCCUGGGCCCUGUANCUA